UAAGCCUGUGAAGGUGGCCUGUGAGGGUUGCUGGAGGUAUCAGAAGUGCGAAUGCUGACAUAAGUAACGAUAAAGCGGGUGAAAAGCCCGCUCGCCGGAAGACCAAGGGUUCCUGUCCAACGUUAAUCGGGGCAGGGUGAGUCGACCCCUAAGGCGAGGCCGAAAGGCGUAGUCGAUGGGAAACGGGUUAAUAUUCCCGUACUUGGUGUUACUGCGAAGGGGGGACGGAGAAGGCUAUGUUGGCCGGGCGACGGUUGUCCCGGUUUAAGCGUGUAGGUGUGUGUUCCAGGUAAAUCCGGUUCACUUUAACACUGAGGCGUGACGACGAGGCACUACGGUGCUGAAGCAACAAAUGCCCUGCUUCCAGGAAAAGCCUCUAAGCAUCAGGUAACAUCAAAUCGUACCCCAAACCGACACAGGUGGUCAGGUAGAGAAUACCAAGGCGCUUGAGAGAACUCGGGUGAAGGAACUAGGCAAAAUGGUGCCGUAACUUCGGGAGAAGGCACGCUGACACGUAGGUGAAGUGAUUUACUCA
This 535-nucleotide ribosomal RNA is filed under the name Salmonella enterica. RNAcentral's name for it is "partial 23S ribosomal RNA". It matches the Rfam family "Bacterial large subunit ribosomal RNA", at positions 1243 to 1773 of the family's 2925-position model. Lineage: Bacteria; Pseudomonadati; Pseudomonadota; Gammaproteobacteria; Enterobacterales; Enterobacteriaceae. The record is from RNAcentral. RNAcentral also lists the same sequence under 1 other name.